AAGUCGUAACAAGGUUUCCGUAGGUGAACCUGCGGAAGGAUCAUUAAAGAGUAAGGGUCUCUGGCCCGAACCUCCAACCCUCUGUUGUUAUAACUACUUCGUUGCUUUGGCGGGACCGCGAAGGUCCUCCCGAGCGCGCCAGUCUCCGGACAGGCGAGCGCCCGCCAGAGUCUAACCAAACUCUUGUUUUAAACCAGUCGUCUGAGUAUAAAAUUUUAAUUAAAUUAAAACUUUCAACAACGGAUCUCUUGGUUCUC
This 257-nucleotide unclassified non-coding RNA is filed under the name Dothiora prunorum. RNAcentral's name for it is "partial internal transcribed spacer region". The stretch from base 1 to 46 matches the Rfam family "Eukaryotic small subunit ribosomal RNA", at positions 1786 to 1831 of the family's 1831-position model. The record is from RNAcentral. Lineage: Eukaryota; Fungi; Ascomycota; Dothideomycetes; Dothideales; Dothioraceae.